AAACCCUUAUUAACUAUUGGAUGACUCCAUAAUUUAUGGAAGCCUCUAUGCUUGAACUAGUAACAAGAAUUUGACUUUCUCCUAAAUAUUAAUGUAAGCCGCAACAGACAAACUAACGGCAAUCAACGCUAAUAAACCAACUACAACAACCCCCAAGAAAAACUUGUAAAAUACAACGUUACCCUUACACAAGCAUAUUCCAGGAAAGAUUAAAAGAAAGAGAAGGAACUCGGCAAACUUCAACCCCGCCUGUUUACCAAAAACAUCGCCUCUUGCUUAAACAUAAGAGGUCCAGCCUGCCCAGUGAACAUUAAACGGCCGCGGUACCCUAACCGUGCUAAGGUAGCACAAUUACUUGUCCUUUAAAUGGGGACUAGAAUGAAAGGCAUCACGAGGGUUAUACUGUCUCCUCUUUUUAAUCAGUGAAACUGACCUCCCCGUGAAAAGGCGGGAAUUAAAAUAUUAGACGAGAAGACCCCAUGGAGCUUUAGAUACCAAGUAAGUCUCAGCCCCACCCACCAUAGCUUAUGACUAUUACCUUUAAGUCUUCGGUUGGGGCAACCAUGGAGUAAAAAUUAACCUCCACACCGAAUGGACACUCCUUAUUCAAGAACCACCAAUCUAAAAAACAGAAUACUGACGCCAACUGAUCCGGAAUCCGAUCAAUGAACCAAGUUACCCUGGGGAUAACAGCGCUAUCUACCUUGAGAGCCCCUAUCGACAGGUAGGUUUACGACCUCGAUGUUGGAUCAGGGUAUCCUAGUGGUGCAGCCGCUACAUA
This 781-nucleotide ribosomal RNA is filed under the name Cornufer cf. wolfi LSUMZ 94038. RNAcentral's name for it is "partial 16S ribosomal RNA". It matches the Rfam family "Bacterial large subunit ribosomal RNA", at positions 1502 to 2568 of the family's 2925-position model. The record is from RNAcentral. Lineage: Eukaryota; Metazoa; Chordata; Amphibia; Anura; Ceratobatrachidae.